This 761-nucleotide non-coding RNA is filed under the name Pongo abelii (Sumatran orangutan). Lineage: Eukaryota; Metazoa; Chordata; Mammalia; Primates; Hominidae. The record is from RNAcentral.
CGGCCUUUGUGCCUUUUUAUUGUUUGCUUACCUUUAUGAUAUAAAGACCUUAUUUCUUACAAGGAGGAAAAGACCGCUGACUUCAGAAACAGCGAGAACCCCAGCUCGUCCCCGGUGAGACGGCCGUGGCCUAUCAGCUGGAACGGUCCUGCCGGAUGGAUCUCGCUUUGAGAGCGUACAAACCCGCGUGCGCGACACCAGGCGGCCCGUAGGUUCCAGGUGCCGAGCACGCUACCUCCUCCAUUUACCUAAGUGCCCUACCAGUAUCAUAUUCUGUGUAUGCUGUGAUGUGAACGAGGUUUGUAAACACAGGCUGGUCUAAUGGAGCCCAAUGAGACCGCCAGAGGAUUAGUGUUUUGUCCAACAGUACUCGACUUGCUGGUAGAGCCCUAAUGACUCAGGGAUGCCCCAAGGGAAAGGUGAGAGAACCUUCACGUCUCUCAGGUAGUUUCCAGCCUGCACUUUCUCCCAGCUAAAGAUAGGUUUUGUUAUUUUUAAAAUUCUCUUUAUUUAGAGCAAAUUCAGCCCUAUCUCAGAUCGGGAAAUUAUAUAGUAUCAAAAGAGAGUCUUCAUAUUAGCAACCCAAAUAAAUAAACUGUUUUCCUGGGUGAUCAAAUAAGUUUGAUUCCUGCUUGAGUUCUAUUUAGAUACUAGGUGGAAUUUUACAAAGGGUCUACGUUCCAUGAACUGUAAUGGAAUGAAAAUAUUCACAAUCUAAAGACAUUUUCACAUUCCCAGUUUACAGCUGAGGAAAUUAAGCU